This 439-nucleotide ribosomal RNA is filed under the name uncultured bacterium. RNAcentral's name for it is "partial 16S ribosomal RNA". It matches the Rfam family "Bacterial small subunit ribosomal RNA", at positions 339 to 795 of the family's 1533-position model. The record is from RNAcentral.
CUACGGGUCGCUGCAGUGAGGAAUAUUGCACAAUGGGGGGAACCCUGAUGCAGCAACGCCGCGUGGAGGAUGACGCAUUUCGGUGUGUAAACUCCUUUUAUAUGGCAAGAAAAUGACGGUAGUAUAUGAAUAAGCACCGGCUAACUCCGUGCCAGCAGCCGCGGUAAUACGGAGGGUGCAAGCGUUACUCGGAAUCACUGGGCGUAAAGGACGCGUAGGCGGGUUGGAAAGUCAGGUGUGAAAUCCUACAGCUUAACUGUAGAACUGCACUUGAAACUUCUAAUCUAGAGUAUGGGAGGGGGAGAUGGAAUUAGUGGUGUAGGGGUAAAAUCCGUAGAUAUCACUAGGAAUACCUAAAGCGAAGGCGAUCUCCUGGAACAUUACUGACGCUAAGGCGUGAAAGCGUGGGGAGCAAACAGGAUUAGAUACCCUAGUAGUC